Hypomesus transpacificus is the source of this 144-nucleotide long non-coding RNA. RefSeq lists it as uncharacterized. Lineage: Eukaryota; Metazoa; Chordata; Actinopteri; Osmeriformes; Osmeridae. The transcript has 2 exons. The record is from RefSeq and is a predicted model, not a curated record.
AGAGCUACAAAUGAGCAACGGACAGCGACGUUGAAGAGAACUGUUCAACAUCGAGUGAGCAGAGCGUUGAAGAUUCUUCCUGGUGAUCUGCUGCCCAUCAUCAACAGUGUUGGGGACUUCUGUGUGCUUCUUCUCACUUCCUGC